This 1021-nucleotide long non-coding RNA is filed under the name Lotus japonicus. Its description in RNAcentral is "long non-coding RNA (LJAP_LNC001510)". Lineage: Eukaryota; Viridiplantae; Streptophyta; Magnoliopsida; Fabales; Fabaceae. The record is from RNAcentral.
AAUAUACCCACAAUCCUCUUUCACGUUCUUCCUUUAGUUUCAAAAGAAAAAAAAAAACGUUCUUCCCUUUGCCGGCGGCAACCGCGACCUAGAUCGACGUGGUGUGGUGGUGGACGCUUCUCUAACCAGCAUGCCAAAGUCGUUUGCCUCUUCUUCUUACGUCCUUCUUGAACCGGUUUGUUUUUCUUCAAUUCAGUUGUUUACACAGUUUACAAUUUCAAUUUUUCUAUACUGUUUUUAUUUCAGUGGUUGAUUGUUUCCAUGGAAUUUUAAGACUUUAAUAUGAGUCUAGUUUCUUUUCUGCAAUUGUGGCGUUGCAUUUCUACAUUUGUACAAUCUGAUUUUUAUGAUGCCCUUAAGCUGUUCGAUAAAAUGCUUCAUUGAAGUGUCUUCGUUCAAUUACUUUGUAAAAAUAUUGGUGUCAAUCCAGGCUCUGAGUUUGGAGUGGCAUGUGAUGAAGCAAACUAAUAUGGUUGUUUUUUUUUUUGUUAAGCCAAAAUACUUCUUCUUCUUUUUUUGACUCUAGGUACUGUUCUGUUACUUUUUAUUUGUACUAUCUACUCACUUGUAAGAGUUUGUUUCUAAUAUCCUAGUUGCUAAUUUCUUGUUUUCCUUGGCUGGGUUUUGAGCAUAUUCAGCAGGUGGAAUCUCACAUGACCUCUCUUUUUAUGAUGCUAAGGAGCUGUUUUUCGAGCAGAGUUGUUUUUCGCCUCAUCUGGUUCCCUGUUUUGCUGUUUAUUUUUUCUGCAACCUUAGGAGCUGCUGCAGAACACGUUUUCUAUGUGACCGAAGAGCACACAUCAAGAAAUCACAAUGCCUUAGAACAUCCCUUGUAGCCACUUUAUCAGAUUUUCUGUGACACAGUAUAAUGAGUACAGAAACUAUUUUUCAAAGUUGAGGAUUUGAAAAAAUUGAGGAUUUUUCUGAAGCAAUAUUUGGUAAAUUUUAGGUAUCUGUUUGAAAUUCAUAAUGAGGAUUUGAGAAUGAGAAUCUAAGUGAAUCAAUUGAAAUCUGUAACGCA